RNAcentral lists this ribosomal RNA (625 nucleotides) under uncultured Oscillatoriales cyanobacterium. Its description in RNAcentral is "bacterial SSU rRNA". It matches the Rfam family "Bacterial small subunit ribosomal RNA", at positions 227 to 866 of the family's 1533-position model. Lineage: Bacteria; Bacillati; Cyanobacteriota; Cyanophyceae; Oscillatoriales. The record is from RNAcentral.
UAGCUCGCGUCUGAUUAGCUAGUUGGAGUGGUAAUGGCACACCAAGGCGACGAUCAGUAGCUGGUCUGAGAGGAUGAUCAGCCACACUGGGACUGAGACACGGCCCAGACUCCUACGGGAGGCAGCAGUGGGGAAUUUUCCGCAAUGGGCGCAAGCCUGACGGAGCAAGACCGCGUGAGGGAGGAAGGCUCUUGGGUUGUAAACCUCUUUUAUCAGGGAAGAAGAUCUGACGGUACCUGAUGAAUCAGCAUCGGCUAACUCCGUGCCAGCAGCCGCGGUAAUACGGAGGAUGCAAGCGUUAUCCGGAUUUAUUGGGCGUAAAGCGUCCGCAGGUGGUUUUUCAAGUCUGCUGUUAAAGCGCGAGGCUUAACCUCGUAACGGCGGUGGAAACUGAGAGACUAGAGUAUGGUAGGGGUAGCGGGAAUUCCCAGUGUAGCGGUGAAAUGCGUAGAUAUUGGGAAGAACACCAGCGGCGAAAGCGCGCUACUGGGCCAUAACUGACACUCAUGGACGAAAGCUAGGGGAGCGAAAGGGAUUAGAUACCCCUGUAGUCCUAGCUGUAAACGAUGGAUACUAGGUGUUGCCCGUAUCGACCCGGGCAGUGCCGUAGCUAACGCGUUAAGUA